RNAcentral lists this ribosomal RNA (301 nucleotides) under uncultured bacterium. RNAcentral's name for it is "partial 16S ribosomal RNA". It matches the Rfam family "Bacterial small subunit ribosomal RNA", at positions 509 to 809 of the family's 1533-position model. The record is from RNAcentral.
CAGCCGCCGCGGGAAUACGAAGGGGGCUAGCGUUGCUCGGAAUGACUGGGCGUAAAGGGCGCGUAGGCGGCCUACACAGUCAGAUGUGAAAUUCCUGGGCUCAACCUGGGGACUGCAUUUGAUACGUGUAAGCUUGAGUGGAGAAGAGGGUCGUGGAAUUUCCAGUGUAGAGGUGAAAUUCGUAGAUAUCGGGAGGAACACCGAUGGCGAAGGCAGGUCUCUGGGCAUUAACUGACGCUGAGGAGCGAAAGCAUGGGGAGCGAACAGGAUUAGAUACCCCAGUAGUCCCUGUCUCUUAUAA